AGAGUUUGAUCCUGGCUCAGGACGAACGCUGGCGGCAUGCCUAAUACAUGCAAGUCGAACGGGUAUACCCGCAAGGGUGUAUCAGUGGCGAACGGGUGAGUAAUGUAUGAGCAACCUGCCCUAUUCAACGGGAUAGCGGUUGGAAACGACCGGUAAUACCGUAUAAGACCACACCGCCGCAUGGCGGAGCGGUCAAAGCGAUUUAGCGGAAUAGGAUGGGCUCAUAUCCCAUUAGCUAGUUGGUGAGAUAACAGCCCACCAAGGCUACGAUGGGUAGCCGACUUGAGAGAGUGAUCGGCCACACUGGAACUGAGACACGGUCCAGACUCCUACGGGAGGCAGCAGUAAGGAAUAUUGGGCAAUGGAGGAAACUCUGACCCAGCAAUGCCGCGUGAGUGAAGAAGGUCUUCGGAUUGUAAAGCUCUUUUAUCGGGAACGAAAAAAAUGACGGUACCCGAUGAAUAAGCCCCGGCUAACUACGUGCCAGCAGCCGCGGUAAUACGUAGGGGGCAAGCGUUGUCCGGAAUGACUGGGCGUAAAGGGAGUGUAGGCGGUCUGAUAAGUUGGAAGUGUAAUACCCAGAGCUCAACUCGGGUGCUGCUUUCAAUACUGUCGGACUUGAGUGCAGGAGAGGAGAGUGGAAUUCCUAGUGGAGCGGUGGAAUGCGUAGAUAUUAGGAGGAACAUCAGUGGCGAAGGCGACUCUCUGGCCUGUUACUGACGCUGAGGCUCGAAAGCGUGGGGAGCAAACAGGAUUAGAUACCCUGGUAGUCCACGCCGUAAACGAUGGAUACUAGGUGCAGGGAGGUAUUGACUCCUUCUGUGCCGCAGCUAACGCAUUAAGUAUCCCGCCUGGGGAGUACGGCCGCAAGGUUGAAACUCAAAUGAAUUGACGG
RNAcentral lists this ribosomal RNA (895 nucleotides) under uncultured bacterium. Its description in RNAcentral is "bacterial SSU rRNA". It matches the Rfam family "Bacterial small subunit ribosomal RNA", at positions 8 to 916 of the family's 1533-position model. The record is from RNAcentral.